CAAUAGCUACUUGCAUCAUAGUUAAUAUGAUGCAAGCUCGACUAAGUUGAAUAAAAUUCUAGGUAGAAUUAUGAUAAUGACAUUGUCUGCCUAUGUGUCUUGACCAAAUUACGUGCCAGCAGUCGCGGGAAUACGUAGAAGACUAGUGUUAUUCAUGUUUAAUCGGUUUAAAGGGUACCUAGACGGUGAAUCAAGCUUUGGUGUAAAUAAUAAAAACCAUAUUGUAUAAGACCUAUAUUUGAGAUACAUAUUUACAUAUGAUAAGGACUAAUUUACUAGAGUUACUUACGAGGGGGUAUUAAAGUACUGCUGGUGUAGAGAUGAAAUUCUGUCAUACCUCUUUUCGAAAGAAAAAUCAUGGCACAGGUAUAGGCGAAGGCAUCCCCUUAUGGGCUAACUGACGUUGAGGGACGAAGGCUUCAUGUAACAAACAGGAUUAGAUACCCUAGUAGUUGAAAGCAGAAAAUGAUGAAUGUCAUAGAUUAGAUAUAUAAGUUUAUUCUAUAAAUGAAAGUGUAAGCAUUCCACCUCAUGAGUAAUUUGGCAACAUUGGAAUUGAAAUCAUUAGACCGUUUCUGAAACCAGUAGUGAAGUAUGUUGUUUAAUUUGAUACUCCGCAAAAAACCUUACCACAAUUUGAAUAUUUAGAUCUUUUAUUGUUUUCAUCUUAAUUUUAUUAUGAUUUUAUUUUUAUUUAAAAAAAAAUAAAAAAUUAAGAAUAAGGCAAUA
This 729-nucleotide ribosomal RNA is filed under the name Flavoparmelia caperata. RNAcentral describes it as "SSU rRNA". It matches the Rfam family "Bacterial small subunit ribosomal RNA", at positions 378 to 1043 of the family's 1533-position model. The record is from RNAcentral. Lineage: Eukaryota; Fungi; Ascomycota; Lecanoromycetes; Lecanorales; Parmeliaceae.